GUGGGGAAUCUUGCGCAAUGGGCGAAAGCCUGACGCAGCCAUGCCGCGUGAAUGAUGAAGGUCUUAGGAUUGUAAAAUUCUUUCACCGGGGACGAUAAUGACGGUACCCGGAGAAGAAGCUCCGGCUAACUUCGUGCCAGCAGCCGCGGUAAUACGAAGGGGGCUAGCGUUGCUCGGAAUUACUGGGCGUAAAGGGCGCGUAGGCGGACAGCUUAGUCAGAGGUGAAAGCCCAGGGCUCAACCUUGGAAUUGCCUUUGAUACUGGCUGUCUUGAGUUUGGGAGAGGUGAGUGGAACUCCGAGUGUAGAGGUGAAAUUCGUAGAUAUUCGGAAGAACACCAGUGGCGAAGGCGACUCACUGGCCCAAUACUGACGCUGAGGAGCGAAAGCGUGGGGAGCAAACAGGAUUAGAAACCCCAGUAGUCC
Molecule: ribosomal RNA, 425 nt
Filed under: uncultured bacterium
Lineage: Bacteria
Description: partial 16S ribosomal RNA
Rfam family: Bacterial small subunit ribosomal RNA
Source: RNAcentral